GCUCAAUGGCUGCGUGGUGCUGGGUAGUUCCUUCCCUCCCCUGGGGCCUGCCCUCUUGGCAACAAGAGGGACUUGCUCACGUGGGAGCUGAGAGUCCUUCCAGCUCUAAUUCUCCCUUGGGGCCUGAGUCCUCCUUGCACUCUGUUUUACCACAGGGUCUCUGUCCUUGUGGUCUCAUCAAAACCUGCUUUCAUGAGAAGGGAUAUUUAUAUCUUUCUGAUAUCAGUGCUGUGAGUCACUUAUGGUCACGGUGUGUGUCACUGUGGACUGCCCUGACCUCAAGCUGUGCAUAGCCCAGAAGGACAGAGGAGGCAGAAAUGUCUGUCCUGAGAGGGAACAUGAGUGCCACAAGAGGUGAAACACGGCCCUGGGCUUCAGAGGAGAUUACUAUUUGUUGGGGGACCAAGAAAGGCUUCAUUCUUAUCAAAGGUGUUUAAAGUGAACCCUUCAGGUGGGAAGGAGUUUGGUGGAGUUUAAGUGGGGUAUGGGGAGAGCAUUCUGGAUGCAAAUAAGAACACGGUUGAGACUGCACAGGGAGGUAAGAAGUUCUGUACUUAAGAGGGAGGAUACAGCGAUGUGCACAACAUCCCUGACUUGCCUUGGUUCGACUUAGGAUUUUUGAUUUCAUGAUGGCGUGAAACCAAUAUCAUUCUGUAGAAACCCUGCUUUGAAUUUGGAUCUUUUCCCCAGCUAGCCAUAUGUGGUAUGAUCACCUCUCUCAAGAUUGGGCAGCAGCAGCUAGCCCCAGCUCUUAACUCCACCUAGUAGUUAAAGUAUAUUAUUAUUUUUCCCCCAUAUUUUUUAUUGAUGCAGUAUAAUUAUACAUAUGGAUUUUGUUGUUACAUAUUUGUAUGCACACACGAUGCAAUAUAACAAUAUAAUUUGGCCAGUAUGAGUCCUCAGCACUUCCCCCCUCCCUUCUCACCUCCCACCUUCUUGUCCCUUUCCUCUACUGAGCUCCUUUUGAUUUUCAGAGAUCCACCCCCACCUUUCUUUUCCUUUUUCCUCUCCAGCUCCUGCAUUCAAAAGAAAAUAUAUGACCCCUUAAGUUAGUUUAGGUAUAUUAAAUUCAUUUUUGACUUAUGACAGUUUCAACUUCCGAUAGUUUCAACUUAUGAUACAUGGGCUUACCAGAAUGGAACCCAAUACCCCAGCAUAGGUGGAGGAAUGCCUGUGGGUGGGAAGGC
This 1187-nucleotide long non-coding RNA is filed under the name Marmota monax (woodchuck). Lineage: Eukaryota; Metazoa; Chordata; Mammalia; Rodentia; Sciuridae. The record is from RNAcentral.